Molecule: ribosomal RNA, 253 nt
Filed under: uncultured bacterium
Lineage: Bacteria
Description: partial 16S ribosomal RNA
Rfam family: Bacterial small subunit ribosomal RNA
Source: RNAcentral
UACAGAGACUGCAAGCGUUAUUCGGAUUCACUGGGCGUAAAGGGUGCGCAGGCGGCUAAGUGUGUCAGAUGUGAAAUCCCGAGGCUCAACCUCGGAACUGCGUCUGAAACUACUUGGCUAGAGUAUUGGAGAGGGUAACGGAAUUCACGGUGUAGCAGUGAAAUGCGUAGAUAUCGUGAGGAACACCAGAGGCGAAGGCGGUUACCUGGACAAUUACUGACGCUCAGGCACGAAAGCGUGGGGAGCAAAAGGG